Peromyscus eremicus (cactus mouse) is the source of this 473-nucleotide long non-coding RNA. RefSeq lists it as uncharacterized. NCBI's taxonomy places the organism in Eukaryota, Metazoa, Chordata, Mammalia, Rodentia, Cricetidae. The transcript is spliced from 2 exons. The record is from RefSeq and is a predicted model, not a curated record.
UCCUAACAUCUUCCAUCAUGUGUGCUAAAGGCAUGUCCUCAGGCGGCAGUUCUGGAAAGCGGAUGAAAUCAGUGAGGAGGGGACAUUGGAAGGUUUGGGGGCUUCCAGGGUGUGGUCCUUGAAGUGGGCAGUGAGAUGCAGCGCAUCCCUCUUUCUUCUUUUCACUUCCAAGUUGUCCAAGACUUCCUCCAUAAAGGCUACAACCUGUGGAAUGAUGAGAGAACAUAAGGCAAGCCGAAAUUCAAAGACAGUGGGUCUAAGACCCGGUCAUUAACUAUUCCUCCUGAGGUCGGGGUCAUCUAAUCAAGGAAAGUCUGGAAACGCUGGAGGAAUACAGUGGAAUCAAGGGAAACCUGAGAACUAACUAAAUGUGAUGCUAGACACUAGGCAGGGUUUUGAGACAAAGAAAAGACAAGUAGGCAAAAACAAUGGGAGUAUGAAUAAAGAGUGGACCUCGGGCAAUGACAUCACAA